CGCUCACCUAACAUUAAAAUUUAGCCUCCAUAGAAGCUGGAGACCAUAUUAAUUGUUUUACGAAAAAGGGUUUUCCCCCGCUUUAUAUUACAAAGCAACCAACCGAUACAGCCAACAAUAGGUGCUAGGGCGGAAGCAACACAGACACGCCCAAAAGAAACGAGAGAGAAAAUACAAAAAAAAACAAAUGUCGACAACAACGGAUCGACAAAAACACGAAGAAGCCUCACGACCAUUGCGCCCACCGGAGAUCUCCUACCAAGCUCCUAGACUCCGAAGCGCCGGUACCAAUCAACACCUCUAAGAAGGGACGCGACGAUGUCGACGCUGCCGCCAAGGGUUUUCCCCGGUAACGCGGCGAGGAAAAAAGAAGGGUAGCCCCGACGCCCUUCAGGAAGGUCCGGCAGCACCCUCAGGCGCCACCGCGUCGGUGUCGGCCAGGCCGACAGGCAUUUCUCCCGAUCCUGACCUUCACCUCGGGCGCUUCGAAGCCCGCCACCAAAACCGACCACCGCCAUACGCCACCAUGGUCUUGAAGCUUCUUCUUUUUUUUUUUUUUGAAAGGAAAGGUAGAUCAUGAUCUACCUUAUGCAUUCAAAACGGGCGCUGCGACAGUGCAGCUGGCCGUCACCAAGCCUAAAAAGAGGUAGAAAAAGGGGUCUUGAAGCUUCUCACGCCAUCUCACCACGACACCACGAAGAGAGGUCUGCAUACCAAAGAAGAGGAGCCGGGACAGAGGCAACAGCAUCGUCAGCACGCGGGAGGGCUCAACCUCCACCAUCAACGACGGUAUGCAGAACAGGUAGCUUUGAGCCUUAUGCGGUCAUAAGAAUUGAACAUAACCAGUGGAAGCCUUUAAAAAAACAAAACACGACUUUAUUCAUUGCAGAUAAUAGUUGCAUCCUUUAUGAGGAGAGGUACAAUUUAAAUUCGAGGUUAACCAGUGGAAGCCUAGCUAACAGUACGUUUACGCAUACGUAAACAAAAGCAAGUCUCGCUAAAAGAUCUCAACAUUAAAAUCUUGAACGUCUGUACAUAAGAUUACUUGGUUUCAGAACACAAAUACAAUUAUUUCACCCAUCAAAUUUGAUGCACAAUAUGGAAAAUAAUGUAGCACCCACCAGAUUUCUCAAAAUCUCAAACCAAGAAUAAUUUAGUCACCAAUGUUCACCUUUGAUCAUCCAUCUGAAGGGAAAAACAGUUAUUUCAUUUAGCAUCCGAACAAGCUUUCCACUACUCAUGAGUAAAAAACUUUAUUUUGUAUUCACCUUUGUUCGUCCAAGUGAAAUGAUGCACAGGCUUAAAACUUGGAUUUGCUAACAUAAUGAUUAUCUUGUUUUCCUCUACUGUGGAAUGGUUUAAAUCCCAUAACUUUUUGGUCAAGGUAGUGAUACUAAAACACAGGAAUUAUGUCAAAAGUAAUUCACCAUAUACAUAACAUCAAAUUCUUGUGCAAAAAAUUCACUUGAGACACUAGCUAAUUACCGAACGAGUUCGUACGGCAUCAUCCCAACUCUAACUCCACAAUUUGGGACAUUUUGCCAAAAAAAACGUAGUACUACUAGCUAACAAAGGGGGAGGACCACUCGUUCCAAUAAAGAGGUGUACAGAAUUGCUCGCCUUGUGUCACUGGUGCGAAUUCUGAAGCAUAUGCCAUUUUUUCGCAAAAAGAAGCAUAUGCCAUUUAGUGUUCUCAAAUUCAGAUUCAGAAGUAGUACACACAAAUAGUGUUUUCAAAUAGAAGGGAUGAAAAGCUAGUUUGAAGCAGAAGCAACUCACCUGUAUCAAGAUUUAAGAUGGCAUAUAGAGUAGACCUAUCAUCAAACGACACAAUAAACUGCCAAAGAAGUAGAUACACACCAGCUCCGAUUCAGUCAAGGAGACCAAAUCUCAACCCAGGAAAAGCAAUUUCUCAAGCCAAAUCAACUAACGGAGAACUAAUAGACGCGGGGUUCUCGGAGUAGGGAACUCAUACUGGAUCCGCGGCGGCAGGGCGGAUCCGGCAAGGUCUACACACCCUUUGGCAAGAUGCCGGAGACGGUGCUGCAGAGGGGCCCGGCGGCGAUGCGCUGGGGGCUUAGGGUCUUUUCGGCCAAGGGAGGGACAUGGACGCUGCUGCCUCGCUUCCUGCCACGCCUAAUUUCUCUUUUGUGCUAAGCCAUGGGUGAUGGUGAGUAAUGGAAGGAGGGGCUGCCAUGGUUGGAUUCGAAGGAGAGCGAGAGAAAGAAAAGAUGCGCUCGAAAGAAUGAACCGGCACCCACGGGCUGCGUUCAUGCCCAAACAUGGCAGGGGUAGCAGCCGAUGCUAGCAGAAGACAAAGAAGGAAAAAAAAUCAGGAACCUUUCAUUUUUUUUUUUGAGGUAAAUCAGGAACCUUUCAUGGAAUCGAUCGACGACGGGGACCUUCGGUGGGCUGGGAACCGUUCGCUCACGGCCCGAAACCUAGCGCGGUGCAGCCAGCCUAUGGGCUGGGCCUAGUGCC
RNAcentral lists this ribosomal RNA (2481 nucleotides) under Triticum aestivum (bread wheat). Its description in RNAcentral is "partial small subunit ribosomal RNA". Lineage: Eukaryota; Viridiplantae; Streptophyta; Magnoliopsida; Poales; Poaceae. The record is from RNAcentral.